UACGGAGGGUGCGAGCGUUACCCGGAUUUACUGGGUGUAAAGGGCGUGUAGGCGGUCUUUCAAGUCCGAUGUUAAAGCCCGGGGCUCAACCCCGGGGGUGCGUUGGAUACUGUAAGGGUAGAGGGGCGGAGGGGGUAGUGGAAUUUUCGGAGUAGCGGUGAAAUGCGCAGAUACCGGAAGGAACGCCGAUAGCGAAGGCCGCUACCUGGACGAUUGGUGACUCUGAGGCGCGAAAGCGUGGGGAGCAAACAGG
This 253-nucleotide ribosomal RNA is filed under the name uncultured bacterium. Its description in RNAcentral is "partial 16S ribosomal RNA". It matches the Rfam family "Bacterial small subunit ribosomal RNA", at positions 524 to 776 of the family's 1533-position model. The record is from RNAcentral.